UUCGCGGAUCGAUGGUGUUUCUGUUGUGAUCGGACGUGCUUUUCUUGCGCUCGCGAUUUGUGUGCUGUUUUUCGCUGUUUGCGAACUUUUCGGAAGAAGAUUAAAGAUUUUUCAGGUAAGUCUUAGUCCAUAUUGACCCUAGACGUAAGAAUUUAUUUAAUAUUACUUGGAGAAUCGGUCCUACAAGACAUCUCGGCACAUCGUUCGAUGAUCAGCCGUUUUCAUUUUGAAUCUUUUAGAUUUAAAAAGGCAGCCGCGGUGAGCAUUUUGCUUUUCUCGGAAGAAUUUAGACAUUAAGCUUUUGUUUUAAUCGACUAAUUGCAAAUUUUCUCUUUUUUUUUUUCUUUCAGAAUGAAGACCUUUGUGUGGUUUCGCCAGAGGUUCCGACGGAAGAAUGCGAUGGCGCCGGAGGGAGGGGGUUCCUCGGACGGCUCCGAUGAGACGUUCGAGGACCGUGAGCUCGACUGGGUCUCUGUCGAAUCGAUUAGUUCGAUGUCGUUUGAGGCCGCCGAGCGAGAGGCAGCGAGUGAUGACGACCUUCCCCUAGUGCGUGUGGCGUUGGACUCUCCCGGAUGCGGGAGAGUUCUGAGUCCAUUCCACUUGGCCAAGGUCGUCAGGGAUCAGCCGGCCUAUGGCCUUGUUAAGGAAGGCAUAGGGAGUACGGAGUCCUCUUGGAGUUCGUCUAUUUUCGCGAGGUCUGCCUCUCGGUCCGUGCUCACGAUCACGUCGCCAUCGUCUUUCGGAAGUCGGAGGACAGCGCCGCUGAAGUCGAGGAACCGCGGUUUUGUUGCUGUGGGAGGUUCCCUUGGCCUAGGCGGUGAUCCUCUUCGAUUUUUUCCAAUUCGUCCUUUGCACUCGGAUGCGACAUUCUGACCGGAUUCGACACUUUUCACCCGGACAUGACCUCUUUACUCGGACUUGGUCUUCUCUUACCCGGAUGUUCUCACGGACUUGUCUCCCAAACGUGACCCUCGAUCGACGACAAUGGAUUUGACUUCCGAUUGUGACCACCCGGACGCAACAUUCGGCCUACCUUUCUUCCCAAACAGCUGUUAUGAGGAUUGAGCUUCCGGUUACGCUAGGCUAGGCUAGGUCAGGUCCUUCGCUCUUCUCAUAACACUGUUCGGGAAGAAAUACUGUCUGAUAAAGGAACAUUUGGGAGAAUCUCCCUCCCCAACUUUACCGCGAAGUGGCCAUUUAUCGUGCAAGUGAAUAUUUUCCGAAAUCUCCGAUGACAUGCCGAAGAUGUUCUUCGAUCACACACAUACACACACGCACAAACAUAACAUCACUGUACACGAAGAUAUACACCGUUUAACCUUUACUCGAAUUAUCGCACUCACGCACUUACACUUCAAGCGCCUCGUUCUGUGUAAUUCCACACAAUGAAACAACCCGAACACUCGCUUCCCACAAAUCUAGCCCCUGGGUCCUCGUUCCGGGAAGUGGAAACGCCAAUUUUAAAGAUUAAAAGACUUUAAAUUGGCGGCCGAAGGGGCUCUGGUAAUUACAAUUUGCACUCAUUACACAGAAUUUCUGGUAUUCGCUGCAAUAAUCGAUUUGUGAUGACAGCGGAAUCCGGAUUUUCGACACUUUACUGUAAUUAAAAUAAAUAUGAAAACUAUUAAGAAAUUACACGUGUAUGUAACAAAAAUAAGAAAUGGUUUUAUAUCAAUAAAUUAUUAUAAGUGUCGAUCUGCUUUUUAUUUUAUACAAAAUAUAAAAUUAAGAGAAAUUAAGUUUAUUUUUAAAAAUUGUACUCUUGUAAAGUGUACGCAAAGGCAUGAUUUUCAGGUGGAUAGAUAAAUGGAAAAUGCCACUAUUUUAUAUUAAACCCAAAUUUCAUUUUUUAAUUUAACAUGAAAAUCACUUCAGAUAAUCAGAUUAAUUUCGCCAAAAAUCGAGUUAAGUCACCUUUGGCCCUGCCGUCUGGCAGGAGCCACGAAAAUUACCAAAAUAUUGUUUAGUGAAGGUGUGCGUUAGAAAUAAAAUACUGUAACUUAUUAUUUUAGGAUUUUAUUGUCUUUUUAACAUUAAAAAUACUUUUACAUAAAGGUAACUUGUAAGAAAAUUGCAACUAGGGCCUCAUAAUCCUCUCCUGUAUUAAGUACUGGCAUUUCUGCUUUGAUAUAACCUGUCAGAAUAAAACUAAUUAGUAGGAAACUUAAUAAAAACCAAUUUGAAUUGACUGUAAAAUCCUACUAGUUACUCCAAUACCUGAACAGCUGAUAUCAUGUACAGCUUUUUCCGAAUACAAUUUCACGUUAUAUGCAAUUCCCUAAAAUUAAAUAACAAAAAUAGUUUUCUAAAACAAUUUGUUUUGAUAUUAUUUUAAGUCUGUAAGUCUGCUUGGAAUAAAACAAAUUUUUCACAUUGGCAGACAACUCUUCACUCAUUGGAAAUCUUUUGAAAUUCUCAGUCGAUGAUGCCUAUUUUU
Long non-coding RNA from Centruroides sculpturatus (bark scorpion), 2437 nucleotides. RefSeq lists it as uncharacterized. The transcript is spliced from 3 exons. The record is from RefSeq and is a predicted model, not a curated record. NCBI's taxonomy places the organism in Eukaryota, Metazoa, Arthropoda, Arachnida, Scorpiones, Buthidae.